Molecule: ribosomal RNA, 244 nt
Filed under: uncultured bacterium
Lineage: Bacteria
Description: partial 16S ribosomal RNA
Rfam family: Archaeal small subunit ribosomal RNA
Source: RNAcentral
UAGCCAGCACCCCGAGUGGUCGGGACGUUUAUUGGGCCUAAAGCAUCCGUAGCCGGUUCUACAAGUCUUCCGUUAAAUCCACCUGCUUAACAGAUGGGCUGCGGAAGAUACUAUGGAGCUAGGAGGCGGGAGAGGCAAGCGGUACUCGAUGGGUAGGGGUAAAAUCCGUUGAUCCAUUGAAGACCACCAGUGGCGAAGGCGGCUUGCCAGAACGCGCUCGACGGUGAGGGAGUGAAAGCUGGGG